This 609-nucleotide unclassified non-coding RNA is filed under the name Hevea brasiliensis (rubber tree). Lineage: Eukaryota; Viridiplantae; Streptophyta; Magnoliopsida; Malpighiales; Euphorbiaceae. The record is from RNAcentral.
GUUUCACUAACAGGUCUUUCUUGACUUGUUUAAUAUCAAGAAAGGGCAUUGCUUGAAUAUGAAGGGACGGAAAAUUGUGAUGAGAUGCAAUGUUUUGAUGAGACUGGAUUUAAGCUUCUUUCAGAUCACGUGGCACAUCCCAUAUGCCAUGUAGUUAUUAGAAAGCUGGAUUUUAUAGAAUACAAUCCUUAAGUAGAUCAUUCUUUCUGCACUUACACUGGCCUGGGAUUUGCAAUUCCUUCGAAUCUAUGUUAUGUUUAUGCUGUAUUUUUUUAGCGUAGGCAUUUUUCUUAACCUCUACAGGUUCUGUAAACUGUGGGUUGUGAUGAGGUUUGGUAUCCCAUUUGCUGGAUAAAGCUGAUUGUUGGGCCUGGAUAACCUUGUGAUAGUAAUGUAAAUGAGUUUAUUUAUUUAUUUUUCCUUCAAAUUUGAUGGUUUUAGUUCGGUAAUCUUUGGUGAUUGGGGAGCCAAUUGCUCAGGUGCAAGAUGGCUGUUGUCUGUUCUGGAAAUUUAUCUUUCAUCUUCUCCUCAUAAAUAUCUCAAUCAUGCAUCCAUCAUUUUAAGUCCCUUUAUUCUGUCUAUGCAGGAAUACAUGACGGAGUGUGUAUU